Molecule: ribosomal RNA, 499 nt
Filed under: uncultured Glomeromycotina
Lineage: Eukaryota; Fungi; Glomeromycota
Description: partial small subunit ribosomal RNA
Rfam family: Eukaryotic small subunit ribosomal RNA
Source: RNAcentral
CCAAUAGCGUAUAUUAAAGUUGCUGCAGUUAAAAAGCUCGUAGUUGAAUUUCGGGACCAAUAUGUCGGUCGUGCCUCGGUACGUACUGGCAUCGUUGGUUUCUCCCUUCUGAAGAACCAUGAUGUCAUUCAUUUGGUGUCGUGGGGAAUCAGGACUGUUACUUUGAAAAAAUUAGAGUGUUUAAAGCAGGCUCACGCUUGAAUACAUUAGCAUGGAAUAAUGAAAUAGGACGUUUGAUUCUAUUUUGUUGGUUUCUAGGAUCGACGUAAUGAUUAAUAGGGAUAGUUGGGGGCAUUAGUAUUCAAUUGUCAGAGGUGAAAUUCUUGGAUUUAUUGAAGACUAACUACUGCGAAAGCAUUUGCCAAGGAUGUUUUCAUUAAUCAAGAACGAAAGUUAGGGGAUCGAAGACGUUCAGAUACCGUCGUAGUCUUAACCAUAAACUAUGCCGACUAGGGAUCGGAUGAUGUUAAUUUUUUAAUGACUCAUUCGGCGCCUUACG